CAUGCAAGUCUUUGGCGAAGCUGCGCUUGCGCAGACAGCCAAGGCGGACGGGUGAGUAACGCGUAGGGAACUUGCCCUGCAGACAGGGAUAACAGACGGAAACGACUGACAAGACCUGAUACAGUUGCCGGCACGCAUGUGCCUGGCGAUGAAAGGAGACGCUGCAGGAGAGCCUUGCGUCCUAUUAGCUUGUUGGCGGGGUAAUGGCCCACCAAGGCGAUGAUAGGUAGCCGGCCUGAGAGGGUGGACGGCCACAAGGGGACUGAGAUACGGCCCUUACUCCUACGGGAGGCAGCAGUGGGGAAUAUUGGACAAUGGGGGCAACCCUGAUCCAGCAAUUCUGUGUACACGAAGAAGGUUUUCGGAUUGUAAAGUGCUUUCAGCAGGGAAGAAGGAAGUGACGGUACCUGCAGAAGAAGCGACGGCUAAAUACGUGCCAGCAGCCGCGGUAAUACGUAUGUCGCGAGCGUUAUCCGGAAUUAUUGGGCAUAAAGGGCAUCUAGGCGGCCCUGUAAGUCUAGGGUGAAAACCUGCGGCUCAACCGCAGGCCUGCCCCGGAAACUACAGGGCUAGAGUGCUGGAGAGGUGGACGGAACUGCACGAGUAGAGGUGAAAUUCGUAGAUAUGUGCAGGAAUGCCGAUGAUGAAGAUAGUUCACUGGACGGCAACUGACGCUGAAGUGCGAAUGCUAGGGGAGCAAACAGGAUUAGAUACCCUGGUAGUCCUAGCUGUAAACGAUGAUUACUGGGUGUGGGCAUGAAGAGUGUCCGUGCCGAAGCUAAUGCGAUAAGUAAUCCG
Molecule: ribosomal RNA, 798 nt
Filed under: uncultured Leptotrichia sp.
Lineage: Bacteria; Fusobacteriati; Fusobacteriota; Fusobacteriia; Fusobacteriales; Leptotrichiaceae
Description: bacterial SSU rRNA
Rfam family: Bacterial small subunit ribosomal RNA
Source: RNAcentral